AAUAACUUUGGGCUGAUCGCACGGUCUCCGUACCGGCGACGCAUCUUUCAAAUGUCUGCCUUAUCAACUGUCGAUGGUAGGUUCUGCGCCUACCAUGGUUGUAACGGGUAACGGGGAAUCAGGGUUCGAUUCCGGAGAGGGAGCCUGAGAAACGGCUACCACAUCCAAGGAAGGCAGCAGGCGCGCAAAUUACCCACUCCCGGCACGGGGAGGUAGUGACGAAAAAUAACGAUACGGGACUCAUCCGAGGCCCCGUAAUCGGAAUGAGCACACUUUAAAUCCUUUAACGAGUAUCCAUUGGAGGGCAAGUCUGGUGCCAGCAGCCGCGGUAAUUCCAGCUCCAAUAGCGUAUAUUAAAGUUGUUGCGGUUAAAAAGCUCGUAGUUGGACUUGUGUCCCWCGCUGUCGGUUCACCGCCCGUCGGUGUCUAACUGGCAUGGUUCGUGGGACGUCCUSCCGGUGGUGGCGAGUCGAAGGAGCGCRCCCGUCGUGGUUCWCRCCGMGAUCGASRUUGYGGUCUGUAGACGGACCCCGAUGAAAUCCUACCGCGGUGCUCUWCACCGAGGUGAUGCUGASGURKGCCUGGCMCGUUUACUUUGAACAAAUUAGAGUGCUUAAAGCAGGCUGUUGCGCCUGAAUACUGGUGCAUGGAAUAAUGGAAUAGGACUCGGGUCUAUUUUGUUGGUUUUCGGAACCCGAGGUAAUGAUUAAUAGGGACAGUCGGGGCAUUCGUAUGCGACGUUGAGGUGAAAUUCUUGGAUCGUCGCAAGACGGAUCGACGAAAGCAUUUGCCAAGUAUGUUUUCAUUAAUCAAGACGAAGUUAAGGUCGAAGGCGAUCAGAUACGCCUAGUUAACCAUAACGAUGCAGCUAGCGAUUCGCGAGUCUCGAUGACUCGCGGCAGUCAGGGACCAAGUUUUGGUUCGGUAGUUGUGCAAGCGAACUAAUGGAAUGACGUAGGUUCCUCCGUAG
This 970-nucleotide ribosomal RNA is filed under the name Modicogryllus volivoli. RNAcentral describes it as "SSU rRNA". It matches the Rfam family "Eukaryotic small subunit ribosomal RNA", at positions 255 to 1127 of the family's 1831-position model. The record is from RNAcentral. Lineage: Eukaryota; Metazoa; Arthropoda; Insecta; Orthoptera; Gryllidae.